AACACAUGCAAGUCGAGCGAAGCGAUUCGGAUUGAAGUUUUCGGAUUGGAUUUUGGAUUGACUGAGCGGCGGACGGGUGAGUAACGCGUGGGUAACCUGCCUACAGUACAGGGGGAUAACAGUUAGAAAUGACUGCUAAUACCGCAUAAGCGCACAGUACCGCAUGGUACGGUAGUGAAAAACUCCGGUGGUAUGAGAUGGACCCGCGUCUGAGUUAGGUAGGUUGGUGGGGUAACGGCCUACCAAGCCGACGAUCAGUAGCCGACCUGAGAGGGUGACCGGCCACAUUGGGACUGAGACACGGCCCCAAACUCCUACGGGAGGCAGCGAGUGGGGAAUAUUGCACGAAUGGGGGAAACCCUGAUGCAGCGACGCCGCGUGAGUGAAGUAAGUAUUUUCGGUAUGUAAAGCUCUAUCAGCAGGGAAGAAAAUGACGGUACCUGACUAAGAAGCCCCGGCUAACUACGUGCCAGCAGCCGCGGUAA
RNAcentral lists this ribosomal RNA (485 nucleotides) under uncultured bacterium. RNAcentral describes it as "bacterial SSU rRNA". It matches the Rfam family "Bacterial small subunit ribosomal RNA", at positions 50 to 523 of the family's 1533-position model. The record is from RNAcentral.